Long non-coding RNA from Oncorhynchus tshawytscha (Chinook salmon), 624 nucleotides. Lineage: Eukaryota; Metazoa; Chordata; Actinopteri; Salmoniformes; Salmonidae. The record is from Ensembl.
GCUGUGGGUUGGAUGUGUUGGCUGGCGGGUUGGUGGUGUUGGCAAGCUGUUUGGUUUCUUGGUGGUGUGGGUUGGUAGUGUUGGCUGGCAUGUUGGUGGUGUUUGCUGGAGGGCUGGUAGGCGGGAUGAUAGUGUUGGCUGAUGGUUUGGUAGUGUUGGCUGGUGGGUUGGUAGUGUUGGCUUGCGGGUUGGUAGUGUUGGCUGGCGGGUUGGUAGGUUGGUAGUGUUGGCUGGCAGGUUGGAUUUGUUGGCUGGCGGGUUGGUGGUGUUGGCAGGCUGUUUGGUUUAUUGGUGUUGUGGGUUGGUAGUGUUGGCUGGCAGGUUGGAUAUGUUGGCCCGGCAUGUCGGUGGUUUUGGCAGGCUGUUUGGUUUAUUGGUGGUGUGGAUUGGCAGGUUGGUAGUGUUGGCUGGCGUGUUGGUAGUGUUGGCUGGUGGGUUGGUGGUGUUGGCUAGCGGGUUGGUUGUGUUGGCUGGCGGGUUGGGGAUGUUGGCUGGCGCAUUGUUAGUGUUGGCUGGCGGGUUGUUAGUGUUGGCUGGUGGGGUCAUAGUGUUGGCUGGAGGGUUGGUAGUGCUGGCUGGAGGGUUGGUGAUGUUGGCUGACGGGUUGGUGAUGUUGGAUGACGG